GUUCCUACAUCCAGGAUUCCAAAAAAUGAUACAGAGAAGAUUAGUAUGGCCACUGAGCAAGAAUGACAUGCCAAUACAUGAAGCAGUCUAUAGUUUU
Molecule: small nuclear RNA, 97 nt
Filed under: Bos indicus x Bos taurus (hybrid cattle)
Lineage: Eukaryota; Metazoa; Chordata; Mammalia; Artiodactyla; Bovidae
Also listed under: 1 other name
Source: RNAcentral